Molecule: ribosomal RNA, 497 nt
Filed under: uncultured bacterium
Lineage: Bacteria
Description: partial 16S ribosomal RNA
Rfam family: Bacterial small subunit ribosomal RNA
Source: RNAcentral
GAUGAACGCUGGCGGCGUGCCUAAUACAUGCAAGUCGAGCGAACAGACGAGGAGCUUGCCCCUCUGACGUUAGCGGCGGACGGGUGAGUAACACGUGGAUAACCUACCUAUAAGACUGGGAUAACUUCGGGAAACCGGAGCUAAUACCGGAUAAUAUAUUGAACCGCAUGGUUCAAUAGUGAAAGACGGUUUUGCUGUCACUUAUAGAUGGAUCCGCGCCGCAUUAGCUAGUUGGUAAGGUAACGGCUUACCAAGGCAACGAUGCGUAGCCGACCUGAGAGGGUGAUCGGCCACACUGGAACUGAGACACGGUCCAGACUCCUACGGGAGGCAGCAGUAGGGAAUCUUCCGCAAUGGGCGAAAGCCUGACGGAGCAACGCCGCGUGAGUGAUGAAGGUCUUCGGAUCGUAAAACUCUGUUAUUAGGGAAGAACAAAUGUGUAAGUAACUAUGCACGUCUUGACGGUACCUAAUCAGAAAGCCACGGCUAACUACGCG